RNAcentral lists this long non-coding RNA (334 nucleotides) under Hordeum vulgare. Its description in RNAcentral is "long non-coding RNA (HVUL_LNC013823)". The record is from RNAcentral. Lineage: Eukaryota; Viridiplantae; Streptophyta; Magnoliopsida; Poales; Poaceae.
GAUACAAUACAAUAUAAAGACAACAACAAACUUAUGUUCUUAUUACAAUCAUCACAAAUGGACAUAGUUAAAUGGAUCACUAAGGAGGUCGAGGGACUAGUCAAAGUCACCAAACACAUCAUUUGAGGUGUACUCAAGUAACAUGGCCUCCGUUUCAGCAGGGUCCUCAAGAGGAUAAGGAAUCUUGGCGUUGCUUGGUCCAGGAGGAAUAUCCUGUGAAUCGCCAGCUCCAUUUGCGCUAUGUGGAUGUAGGUUGAAGUUAGCUUCAAGCCUUUUCCCUUGAGGUGCUUUGAGUCCCUGAGAUUGCUGGUACAGCAUGACCAGAUGCGUGGGC